Molecule: transfer-messenger RNA, 431 nt
Filed under: bovine gut metagenome
Rfam family: transfer-messenger RNA
About the family: Bacterial tmRNA, also known as 10Sa RNA or SsrA, is named for its dual tRNA and mRNA-like properties.
Source: RNAcentral
GGGGAUAAUUGGUUUUGACAGCAGGCAGGAUGGGUAGGUAAGCAUGCCGUGCACGGACACCGCACGUAAAUCGGGUCUAAACAAUUUAACUGGCAACAACAACUAUGCUCUCGCUGCCUAACCGAAGUACAGUAGGUUAGCCUUAUUUCCCCACAAGGUGGGGAAUCGAGACAUCGCUCCAAGCCCGGCUUCGCGGCUGAAUGGGUAACGGGGUCCCCGAGAAAUCUUUGAUUUAUGGGGUGUCCUAUAGCGGUGCAGAAAUUGCGAAGAUAGCCUCAAUGGCGCUGCGACAGCGAGGUGAAACAAUAGCAGAUAAGCCGUUGGUUGGUGGUUCGGGUCUUGCCAACGGACGAAAAUGAAGGCCGAAAUAAGCAUGUAGAAAGCGUAUUUGUUCCCUGUUUGGACGCGGGUUCGACUCCCGCUAUCUCCAC